CGAGUCGGCCUGCGCGGAAGAUGUAACGGGGCUAAACCAUGCACCGAAGCUGCGGCAGCGACGCUUAUGCGUUGUUGGGUAGGGGAGCGUUCUGUAAGCCGUUGAAGGUGUCCUGUGAGGGGUGCUGGAGGUAUCAGAAGUGCGAAUGCUGACAUAAGUAACGAUAAAGCGGGUGAAAAGCCCGCUCGCCGGAAGACCAAGGGUUCCUGUCCAACGUUAAUCGGGGCAGGGUG
RNAcentral lists this ribosomal RNA (233 nucleotides) under Enterobacter hormaechei. RNAcentral's name for it is "partial 23S ribosomal RNA". It matches the Rfam family "Bacterial large subunit ribosomal RNA", at positions 1150 to 1381 of the family's 2925-position model. The record is from RNAcentral. Lineage: Bacteria; Pseudomonadati; Pseudomonadota; Gammaproteobacteria; Enterobacterales; Enterobacteriaceae.